RNAcentral lists this ribosomal RNA (391 nucleotides) under Streptococcus pneumoniae. Its description in RNAcentral is "bacterial SSU rRNA". It matches the Rfam family "Bacterial small subunit ribosomal RNA", at positions 1150 to 1533 of the family's 1533-position model. Lineage: Bacteria; Bacillati; Bacillota; Bacilli; Lactobacillales; Streptococcaceae. The record is from RNAcentral.
UGCCGGUAAUAAACCGGAGGAAGGUGGGGAUGACGUCAAAUCAUCAUGCCCCUUAUGACCUGGGCUACACACGUGCUACAAUGGCUGGUACAACGAGUCGCAAGCCGGUGACGGCAAGCUAAUCUCUUAAAGCCAGUCUCAGUUCGGAUUGUAGGCUGCAACUCGCCUACAUGAAGUCGGAAUCGCUAGUAAUCGCGGAUCAGCACGCCGCGGUGAAUACGUUCCCGGGCCUUGUACACACCGCCCGUCACACCACGAGAGUUUGUAACACCCGAAGUCGGUGAGGUAACCGUAAGGAGCCAGCCGCCUAAGGUGGGAUAGAUGAUUGGGGUGAAGUCGUAACAAGGUAGCCGUAUCGGAAGGUGCGGCUGGAUCACCUCCUUUCUAAGGA